Molecule: ribosomal RNA, 468 nt
Filed under: uncultured bacterium
Lineage: Bacteria
Description: partial 16S ribosomal RNA
Rfam family: Bacterial small subunit ribosomal RNA
Source: RNAcentral
GACGAACGCUGGCGGUGUGCUUAACACAUGCAAGUCGAACGGAAAGGCCCUGCUUUUGUGGGGUGCUCGAGUGGCGAACGGGUGAGUAACACGUGAGUAACCUGCCCUUGACUUUGGGAUAACUUCAGGAAACUGGGGCUAAUACCGGAUAGGAGCCCCUGCUGCAUGGUGGGGGUUGGAAAGUUUCGGCGGUCGGGGAUGGACUCGCGGCUUAUCAGCUUGUUGGUGGGGUAGUGGCUUACCAAGGCUUUGACGGGUAGCCGGCCUGAGAGGGUGACCGGCCACAUUGGGACUGAGAGACGGCCCAGACUCCUACGGGAGGCAGCAGUGGGGAAUAUUGCACAAUGGGCGGAAGCCUGAUGCAGCAACGCCGCGUGCGGGAUGACGGCCUUCGGGUUAUAAACCGCUUUCGCCUGUGACGAAGCGUGAGUGGCGGUAAUGAGUAAAGAAGCACCGGCUAACUACGUG